GGGGAUGUGACUCAGUUGUUAGAGUGCUUGCCUAGCAUGUAUGAGGCCCUGGAUUCAUUCCAUCCCCA
RNAcentral lists this transfer RNA (68 nucleotides) under Mus musculus (house mouse). It matches the Rfam family "tRNA". Rfam says of the family: Transfer RNA (tRNA) molecules are approximately 80 nucleotides in length. The record is from Rfam by way of RNAcentral. Lineage: Eukaryota; Metazoa; Chordata; Mammalia; Rodentia; Muridae. RNAcentral also lists the same sequence under 1 other name.